GAACGCUGGCGGCGGCCUAAACAUGCAAGUCGAGCGGAAACGAAGAGGUGCUUGCACCUCUGGCGUCGAGCGGCGGACGGGUGAGUAAUGCUUGGGAAUAUGCCUUAUGGUGGGGGACAACAGUUGGAAACGACUGCUAAUACCGCAUGAUGUCUACGGACCAAAGUGGGGGACCUUCGGGCCUCACGCCAUAAGAUUAGCCCAAGUGGGAUUAGCUAGUUGGUGAGGUAAUGGCUCACCAAGGCGACGAUCCCUAGCUGGUUUGAGAGGAUGAUCAGCCACACUGGGACUGAGACACGGCCCAGACUCCUACGGGAGGCAGCAGUGGGGAAUAUUGCACAAUGGGCGCAAGCCUGAUGCAGCCAUGCCGCGUGUGUGAAGAAGGCCUUCGGGUUGUAAAGCACUUUCAGUAAGGAGGAAAGGUUAAGUGUUAAUAGCACUUAGCUGUGACGUUACUUACAGAAGAAGCACCGGCUAACUCCGUGCCAGCAGCCGCGGUAAUACGGAGGGUGCGAGCGUUAAUCGGAAUUACUGGGCGUAAAGCGUACGCAGGCGGUUUGUUAAGCGAGAUGUGAAAGCCCCGGGCU
This 587-nucleotide ribosomal RNA is filed under the name uncultured bacterium. RNAcentral's name for it is "bacterial SSU rRNA". It matches the Rfam family "Bacterial small subunit ribosomal RNA", at positions 31 to 609 of the family's 1533-position model. The record is from RNAcentral.